AUUGAACGCUGGCGGCAUGCUUUACACAUGCAAGUCGAACGGCAGCGCGGGCUUCGGCCUGGCGGCGAGUGGCGAACGGGUGAGUAAUACAUCGGAACGUGCCCAGUAGUGGGGGAUAGCUCGGCGAAAGCCGGAUUAAUACCGCAUACGACCUGAGGGUGAAAGCGGGGGAUCUUCGGACCUCGCGCUAUUGGAGCGGCCGAUGGCAGAUUAGCUAGUUGGUGGGGUAAAGGCCUACCAAGGCGACGAUCUGUAGCUGGUCUGAGAGGACGACCAGCCACACUGGGACUGAGUCACGGCCCAGACUCCUACGGGAGGCAGCAGUGGGGAAUUUUGGACAAUGGGCGAAAGCCUGAUCCAGCAAUGCCGCGUGUGUGAUGAAGGCCUUCGGGUUGUAAAGCACUUUUGGCGGGAACGAAAAGGACUGUGCCAAUACCACGGUUCGAUGACGGUACCCGCAGAAUAAGCACCGGCUAACUACGUG
This 484-nucleotide ribosomal RNA is filed under the name uncultured bacterium. RNAcentral describes it as "partial 16S ribosomal RNA". It matches the Rfam family "Bacterial small subunit ribosomal RNA", at positions 29 to 507 of the family's 1533-position model. The record is from RNAcentral.